GACGAACGCCGGCGGCGUGCCUAACACAUGCAAGUCGAGCGAAUGAAGUUCCUUCGGGAACGGAUUUAGCGGCGGACGGGUGAGUAACACGUGGGCAACCUGCCUCAUAGAGGGGAAUAGCCUUCCGAAAGGGAGAUUAAUACCGCAUAAGAUUGUAGUGCCGCAUGGUACAGCAAUUAAAGGAGUAAUCCGCUAUGAGAUGGGCCCGCGGCGCAUUAGCUAGUUGGUGAGGUAACGGCUCACCAAGGCGACGAUGCGUAGCCGACCUGAGAGGGUGAUCGGCCACAUUGGGACUGAGACCCGGCCCAGACUCCUACGGGAGGCAGCAGUGGGGAAUAUUGCACAAUGGGGGAAACCCUGAUGCAGCAACGCCGCGUGAGUGAUGACGGCCUUCGGGUUGUAAAGCUCUGUCUUCAGGGACGAUAAUGACGGUACCUGAGGAGGAAGCCACGGCUAACUACGUGCCAGCCGCCGCCGUAA
RNAcentral lists this ribosomal RNA (480 nucleotides) under uncultured bacterium. RNAcentral's name for it is "partial 16S ribosomal RNA". It matches the Rfam family "Bacterial small subunit ribosomal RNA", at positions 28 to 523 of the family's 1533-position model. The record is from RNAcentral.